Molecule: ribosomal RNA, 319 nt
Filed under: uncultured eukaryote
Lineage: Eukaryota
Description: partial 18S ribosomal RNA
Rfam family: Eukaryotic small subunit ribosomal RNA
Source: RNAcentral
CCCUUAGAUGUUCUGGGCCGCACGCGCGCUACACUGAUGCAUUCAACGAGCCUAGCCUUGACCGAGAGGUCCGGGUAAUCUUUGAAACUGCAUCGUGAUGGGGCUAGAUUAUUGCAAUUAUUAAUCUUCAACGAGGAAUGCCUAGUAAGCGUGAUUCAUCAAAUCGCGUUGAUUACGUCCCUGCCCUUUGUACACACCGCCCGUCGCACCUACCGAUUGAAUGGUCCGGUGAAAUCUCGGGACGGCGGCUUGGUCGCUUGCGUCCGACUGCUGAAACUUGAUUAAACCAUAUCAUUUAGAGGAAGGUGAAGUCGUAACA